UAACGCGAAGAACCUUACCUGGGCUUGACAUGUCCGUGACAGCUGUGGAAACACAGUCUCCCUUCGGGGCGCGGUCACAGGUGGUGCAUGGCUGUCGUCAGCUCGUGUCGUGAGAUGUUGGGUUAAGUCCCGCAACGAGCGCAACCCUCGUCGCAUGUUGCCAGCAUUAAGUUGGGGACUCAUGCGAGACUGCCGGUGACAAACCGGAGGAAGGCGGGGAUGACGUCAAGUCAUCAUGCCCCUUAUGUCCAGGGCUACACACGUGCUACAUUGGCGCAUACAAACGGCUGCGAUACCGCGAGGUGGAGCGAAUCCGAAAAAGUGCGUCUCGGUUCGGAUUGGAGGCUGAAACUCGCCUCCAUGAAGGCGGAGUUGCUAGUAAUCCCGAAUCAGCAACGUCGGGGUGAAUACGUUCCCGGGUCUUGUACACACCGA
RNAcentral lists this ribosomal RNA (435 nucleotides) under uncultured bacterium. Its description in RNAcentral is "bacterial SSU rRNA". It matches the Rfam family "Bacterial small subunit ribosomal RNA", at positions 957 to 1393 of the family's 1533-position model. The record is from RNAcentral.